CCUACGGGAGGCAGCAGUGGGGAAUCUUGCGCAAUGGGCGAAAGCCUGACGCAGCAACGCCGCGUGCGGGAAGAAGGCUUUCGGGCUGUAAACCGCUUUCAGCAGGAACGAAAAUGACGGUACCUGCACAAGAAGGAGCGGCCAACUAUGUGCCAGCAGCCGCGGUGAUACAUAAGCUUCAAGCGUUGUNCGGAUUUAUUGGGCGUAAAGAGUUCGUAGGCGGUCUAGUAAGUCAGGUGUGAAAAUUCUGGGCUCAACCCAGAAACGCCACCCGAUACUGCUUAACUUGAGUUCGAUAGGGGAGUGGGGAAUUCCUAGUGUAGCGGUGAAAUGCGCAGAUAUUAUGAGGAACACCCGUGGCGAAAGCGCCACUCUGGAUCGAUACUGACGCUGAGGAACGAAAGCAUGGGUNGCANACAGGAUUAGAUACCCUGGUAGUCCAUGCCGUAAACGGUGGGGCUAGGUGUGGGAUUCUAUUAACGAAUUCCGCGCCGGCGCUAACGCAUUAAGUGCCCCGCCUGGGGAGUACGGUCGCAAGACUNAAACUCAAAGGAAUUGACGG
RNAcentral lists this ribosomal RNA (562 nucleotides) under uncultured firmicute ESR 8. RNAcentral's name for it is "bacterial SSU rRNA". It matches the Rfam family "Bacterial small subunit ribosomal RNA", at positions 338 to 916 of the family's 1533-position model. The record is from RNAcentral.